UUUAAAACAACGGUUCCCGUACGAUCACCGAAGUUAAGCAACGUCGAGCCUGGUCAGUCCUUAGACAAGUUACUGUUUGGGAAUACCAGGUGCUGAAAG
Acanthosepion pharaonis is the source of this 99-nucleotide non-coding RNA. NCBI's taxonomy places the organism in Eukaryota, Metazoa, Mollusca, Cephalopoda, Sepiida, Sepiidae. The record is from the annotation of a GenBank genome assembly.